CCCAUGUGGGGCUCGAUCCCUGGACUCCAGGAUCACACCCUGGGCUGAAGGCAGGUGCUCAACCCCCAAGCCACCUGGGCGUCCCAUGGGAGGCCUUCAAUAAAUAUUUCUUAAGUGAAUGCUGGGGUUCGACUAUAGAUAGUUCACAUGCAGAAUCUCAUUCGUUCAUUCCUGGCCCACUAAACCAUGGCCCCCGCCUGAAGUUAGGCCUAAUUAAAAGAAGGAAAGGCAACACACCUAUCGAGAAAUGAGCUUUAGAUGGGCCCAUUUCUCACACACAUACACACACACACACCUCUACACCUCUUUCUAGGAGAAAUUAGAACCUGGGAGCUGAGUCUCCAGCAAGCUGGGAGUUAGGGCUAAACUAACCAGGGCAGGAAUAGGAGUCCUGGUAAUCACUGGGACCCAAGUUCUCUGCUAGACUCAGGACACUGCUCCCCAAAGCCAGGCAACAAGUCGGCUGUCUCUCCUGGCUCAGAGGGCCCUCCUUCCUCAUUCCCAGGGUCUUCAGGCAGCGGGCAGAGGCAACGGAGGGGCUGGGGGAUGCAGGGAUGCAACUUUUGGAUGGGGAAAGGAAGCUCGUACUCUUUGGCACCCUUCUCCCUGGACUUCUCAGGCAUCUGAGCCUUUGGGGCAGCAAAAGGAGAUGGCAUCCCUUGACCUAGGCCUCGCUCAAGCCUUGUACCUGCAAAAGAAACGUUGGUCAGGCCAUUGCCCCAUCCAGGGAGUGAGAACAUCCUGGCUACUCCCCCACUGUGCUGGGGCCUGGCCUCAACUUACCGGGAAUGGUGUUCUCUAAGAGGAAGCCCAAGAGUCCUGCCAGGAAGAUGGGCUCUGUGAGCAGCGAGCGCAGUAACACAUCCAAGGGGCUCCAGCCUACAGAGGGUUGGGGCCAGGCAGGAGGGGAACUCUGAUCCUAUGCAGGGUCAAAGAAUCUUCUAUUUCUAUACCUAAAUCUAAAUCUCAGGCUGAGAACAGGUCUUUCUGAAUUGUUAUCUCGUCUCCCCCGGCCUUUGCCCCCCAACUCUGUAUUUCCCUCAUCUAGGCCCUUCCCACAAGAUCCCAGCCCAUCAUCCUGUCUUCUGACCAUCCACAGGCCCUCCAGAUAUAUUUUGAUAGUUCCAGGCUCUGGAAAGUUUGAUAUUAAAAGCCCCAACCAUGGGGCACCUGGAUGGUUCACUUGAUUAAGCAGCCGACCCUCGGUUUUGGCUCAGAUAAUGAUCUCAGGGUCCUGGGGUCAAGCCUGCUCCCAGGCUCCCAGCUUAAUGGGGAGUCUGCUUGUGGACUCUCUCCCUCUCCCUUAGCCCCUCCCCCACUAGCACCUUCUCUCUCCCUCUCUCUAAAAUAAAAAUAAAUCGAUCUUACAAAUAAAUAUAUAAAUGCCCCAAUCUUGCUCCCCACUUCUUACCUUCCAUGCUCUAGCCUGGUUUUCUCAACCUCAAUACUUACUGACAUUUUGGACCAGAUAGCUCUUUGAGGGGGCCUGUCUUGUGCAUUGUAGGAUGCUUAACAUCAUCCCUGUACCUACUAAGUGCCAAUAACAAUCUCCUCCUUUUUUUGUAGCAACCAAAAAUGUCUCUGGAUAUUUCCUGCAGGGGGAAAUCCUCCUGUUGAGUGCCACUGCUAUUAGCUAGGCUGCACUAACAAACUAAGGUAUUUGCUGCUCCCUGGACAUACCCUAUGACUUCUUACAUCUAGGUUGUUGUUUAUGAUGGCUCCCCCAUCGGAAACAAGCUUCCUCUCACUAAGUACGUUCAGAUCUUACCAUCCUUCAAACCAGCAAAAUGUUACUUUCUCCGUAAAACCUAACUUGGAUCAUCUUAAACAGAAACUCUCUCUCACCGCUGAGCACCCCAGCUCCUUAUCUGACCCUUUCCUGUUAUAGUUGUACAUAGCUCUUCUCUCUUUUACUAGACUGUAACCUCUGGAGGCACCUUUGUAUCCCAAGGGGCUUAUCUGAUGCUUGAUAAAUAUUUGCUAUACGAAGGGAUGAACUAUUUACACCGCAGCCUAGGAAAGGGUGUGGGACCUGGAGUCCACAGAGCCUCCAAGCCCCGAAGCCUCCAGCCCUGGGUCUCCUCCUCUUCCCAUCCCUCCUCCUCCCACCUGUGCUCAUCAGGACCGGGGCUUCUCGAAGCCAUCUUGGCAGCAGCAGGGCCAUGAAGAUGGAGAAGCCAACAAUGAAGACAUUCCGCCCAGAGUCAAUGUCAGCCAGGUGGAAGCUGGAGAAUCCAGUAGACAGAACCACGGCCUGGGUCACCCCAAGUACCCCACCUGUCUCGUAGGGAAGUAACCAAGGGGGUUGGGAAGGGCUGGCAGGGCAGGGAGGACUGCGGGGCGGGGCAGGUUGGGAUGGAGACAGACAACUCAUUUUCCAGUUACGCCAAAAGCCCACUGAAGAGGCCAAGACGUUGGGCUGGGGAAAAUGAUAGCUCACUGCUAUCCGUGUCAGGGGGGCUGUUCAGAAAGAGAGGGUGCCAGCCAGCCUCAAGCAACCAGCUGGGCCAUCCUGGAGGGGGAGGGGAGUGCUGGUUCAAUACCAGACCCGCUGAUACGUCCACUCACCAAGCACAGGCAGCGGGAUGGCGGUGAGGAGCUGGGCCAGCCUCGGGGAGAGCCCAAGCCCCACGCACAGCAGCCCCGCCAAGUGUGCCACUCUCCGAGAUCCCGCCUAGGGGGAGGAGACAUGCUGGAAGACACAGCCACCUAUUCAAACAAAACUCUUCAAAGUUUUUGCCUGGCUGGCCCAUCUCAUCAUUUGGAUCCCAACUCAAAUGGGACCCAAGAGUCCAAGAAGGACUCUACCUGAAGGGUCCUCCUUUUCUCAACCACUAUCCCACAACUACCCUGCUUUGUUUUCUUUCUUGUUUUUAAAGACUUUAUUUUUAAUUUUUACCUGCUUUGUUUUCUUUUUUUUUUCCCCGCUUUGUUUUCUUGAUAGCACCUAUCACUCUGAAAUUAUCUUACAUUUUUCCUUAAAUUGUCUGCCUUUCCCUCUCUGAAGUGCCCAAGAGAGCAGGGACUUUAUAAGACUUGAUCUCACCAACUCCCAGCCCAAGGAAGAGAAGGAAUGGAACGGUGGCUUAGUGUCUUCCUCACACUCCUAGCCCCUUUCCACUUCUAGGCACCUCCCUAAAUGAGAUAGUUGAGGUGGCGAGCGUGACAGAGUGCAGGAUGCAGGUGGCAACCAGGCGGCACGAGUGUCCCCCCAUCGCCCACAUCUCCUGCUCCCCUGCCCCCACCCUCACACACAUACCUGGAUAAGACUCACUGUGCCCACGUUGGGGAAGCUGGAUGCAGUGCCCAUUGGGCUCCCCAACAUCCCGGCCAGCACACUGCCCAGACCCUCCAGGCUCAGCCCUCGGCUGCACGCAUGUGGAGGGGGCGAAGGCAAUUGCAACAGCCGGCCACACAGGGCAUAGCAGCCCAGGGAGCUGGUGGAGGCUGCCAAAGCCAUGGAGAUGCCUGCAGCCAGAGCCCUGGGUGUCAGCAAGGGCCAGGUCCACUCAGCUGGGGAGGGAGAAAGAGCUGUGUUGGGGCCAGACCCAAGGCUGGAGCACCUCCCUGCCUCCAAGGUUUUGUGCCACAGGAAUCCUUGAGACCCCAUUGUCUUUGAAGACAAUCUCUUGCGACAAAACCAAUAAACCCAGGAGAAACUCUUCCCUUUACCAUGGUCUACAAGGCGUCAUGUCUCACCACACUCUGCCUCACUCCCUUCACUCCAGAUAUACUGGCCUUGUUUCAGGCCCUUUGUACUAGGUGUGUUGCUGGCUACCACAGGGCCUUUGCAUGUGCUGUUCUCCCUCCUAGAACGCUCUUCUCCCUGGCCUUCACUCUGUUAGCUCCUACUCAUCUCUCACAUCUCAGCUCAGAGAUCACUUCCUCAAGAAUACUUUUCCUGAUGUCUCAAAUACAGAGUCUCCAUGAUAAGCUGUCAUUACACAAGGUAUUUCCCCAUUAUCACACUUGCCACAUGCAAUUUUACAUUUACUUGGGUGACUAUUUAAUCAGGAUCUGCAUUCCCCAGCAGAUAUAAGCUUCAGGGGUAUCGGUACUGUGUCAUAUUUAUCACCACGUCCCCUAUCACAUGCCCAGCACAAAAUCAGCACACCACAGACCUCUGUUAAAUCGACGAAUGAACAACUUUUGUACACAACGCCUCAAAAGCAAUUUGUAUAUGUAGGUCACCAACUCAAAUGCCUGUGGGGGGAGGUAGCACAAAGGUGUAAGUUGGGUAAGGAGUAUCAACAGGGAGCGGUGGGCCUGCAGAUGUCUCUUCACACCCCCAAAAAACACCCGUGGCAAGGGGCUGCCAUUGCCCCCCUCAGACUGGCAAUUUCUCUCCCCCGUGUGUUUUGAGAAAACACAGGAUUUAAUUCAGAAAUGAAAUUCCCUAAAUCUUGAGUCCAAAGAAAUGAGGAUGGAGGACGAAGAACGAACCUACCUGGGUGAGGCAGCCAGACCCAUGGUGCCUUGGGGGAUGCAGCCAGCUCUAGAGGGAUGAGGCGCAGCCCCAGAAGCGCAGAGAUGAUCCACACACAGGCCACCGGCACCAGUACCUGAGGGGCAAAAACUGAGACUCUCACAUACCGAGAAGAGCCGGAAGACAGGAAUGGGAGUGUGGGGUGAAGAGUUUGAAGCUGGCCGCCAGGGGCACGGGGGUACCUGGCAGGAGCCCAGGUGCUGAGAACAGACCACCACGAGCAGGAUAAGCCUAGGAGAGAGAAGGAGUUUUAGGAGCAAGAGGAAGCAGGCCUCCUGUGUCGGGUGAUAGAGAGCCAGAAGACAGCUGAGGCCCCAGGGAGGAGGCCCACACUGAGAAGCCCAAAGGUGAGAGGAGGGAUUUUGGACAGCAGAUUGUGGUGGCGGCAGCGGUGGUGGCAGUGGUGACGACGACAAUGGCAGAGGAGCCAGGGCAUCCUGCAGGUCCAUGGAUCGGAGUUGGAUGGGAUGGUGGGGUGAUCGGCUCAUGCAGCCCUGCUCUCUUCUUGUCUUGGCUGUCCUGGGCCAGAGUUAAGUAGAGAGUGUAAGAGGUCAGAGUUUGGAUGAAGUUAGCUGCCUGGUGUGAGGAGGGGGUAGAGGUGUCAGUGAAGCGGAGCGAAGGGGUGAGGGAUUUGGGGCAGGACAGGCCCUUUCACCUUUGCCCAGCUGUUGUGCAAAUUCCAUCACCCAUUAACUGUGGAACCACAUUCUAGACCCCUCCCCCCAAGAAUCUCCAUCUAGAUCCCCUGUUCCACGCUCUGCAAUGCGGAGAGCAGGGGUGGGGAGAAGACUUAUCAAAGAUCCUGGGGAAGUUUUACAGUGUUCCCUCCUCACCACCAGCAACUGGAAAGAUCAGUGUUACACCAGUUUUCAGCCUUUUCGGAGUCCAGCCCCCAGGACUCCCCAGAAAGGAAAUGCAUGGGUAAUAUCCAUACAUGGCACGUGGCGACAGUGACCACAACUCCGUGUAAUAUCCUCACCGUAACAGAAAGGAGAAAUAAAGGUGAUUGGUAACAAGUA
This is a long non-coding RNA of Canis lupus familiaris (dog), 5505 nucleotides long. RefSeq lists it as uncharacterized. The record is from RefSeq and is a predicted model, not a curated record. NCBI's taxonomy places the organism in Eukaryota, Metazoa, Chordata, Mammalia, Carnivora, Canidae. The transcript is spliced from 3 exons.